AACCAUAGAAACCUGCGGAGUACCUGCGGAAGGAUCAUUACAGAGUUGCAAAACUCCCACAAACCAUCGCGAAUCUUACCCGUACGGUUGCCUCGGCGCUGGCGGUCCGGAAGGCCCUCGGGCCCCCGGACCCUCGGGUCUCCCGCUCGCGGGAGGCUGCCCGCCGGAGUGCCGAAACCAAACUCUUGAUAUUUUAUGUCUCUCUGAGUAAACUUUUAAAUAAGUCAAAACUUUUAACAA
This 240-nucleotide unclassified non-coding RNA is filed under the name soil metagenome. RNAcentral describes it as "partial contains 5.8S ribosomal RNA, internal transcribed spacer 2, and large subunit ribosomal RNA". The record is from RNAcentral.